GUGGGGAAUAUUGGGCAAUGGGCGCAAGCCUGACCCAGCAACGCCGCGUGAAGGAAGAAGGCUUUCGGGUUGUAAACUUCUUUUACCAGGGACGAAACAAAUGACGGUACCUGGUGAAUAAGCCACGGCUAACUACGUGCCAGCAGCCGCGGUAAUACGUAGGUGGCGAGCGUUAUCCGGAUUUAUUGGGUGUAAAGGGCGUGUAGGCGGGACAGCAAGUCAGAUGUGAAAACCAGAGGCUCAACCUCUGGCCUGCAUUUGAAACUGUUGUUCUUGAGUGUCGGAGAGGUAAUCGGAAUUCCGUGUGUAGCGGUGAAAUGCGUAGAUAUACGGAGGAACACCAGUGGCGAAGGCGGAUUACUGGACGAUAACUGACGCUGAGGCGCGAAAGCGUGGGGAGUAAACAGGAUUAGAUACCCUAGUAGUCC
This 428-nucleotide ribosomal RNA is filed under the name uncultured bacterium. RNAcentral's name for it is "partial 16S ribosomal RNA". It matches the Rfam family "Bacterial small subunit ribosomal RNA", at positions 354 to 796 of the family's 1533-position model. The record is from RNAcentral.